This 485-nucleotide ribosomal RNA is filed under the name uncultured bacterium. RNAcentral describes it as "bacterial SSU rRNA". It matches the Rfam family "Bacterial small subunit ribosomal RNA", at positions 1011 to 1498 of the family's 1533-position model. The record is from RNAcentral.
CGAAGUCCUUCGGGACAGGGGUGACAGGUGGUGCAUGGUUGUCGUCAGCUCGUGUCGUGAGAUGUUGGGUUAAGUCCCGCAACGAGCGCAACCCUUAUCAUUAGUUGCUACCAUUAAGUUGAGCACUCUACUGAGACUGCCCGGGUUAACCGGGAGGAAGGUGGGGAUGACGUCAAAUCAUCAUGCCCCUUAUCUCUAGGGCUACACACGUGCUACAAUGGUGAGUACAAAGAGAUGCAAGACCGCAAGGUGGAGCCAAACUCAAAAACUCAUCCCAGUUCGGAUUGUAGGCUGCAACUCGCCUACAUGAAGCCGGAGUUGCUAGUAAUCGCGAAUCAGCAUGUCGCGGUGAAUACGUUCCCGGGCCUUGUACACACCGCCCGUCACACCAUGAGAGUUGGUAACACCCGAAGUCCGUGAGGCAACCGUAAGGAGCCAGCGGCCGAAGGUGGGAUUGAUGAUUGGGGUGAAGUCGUAACAAGGUA